CGGCGAUGUCCGAAUGGGGAAACCCAGUGCAAUUCGUUGCACUAUCGUUAACUGAAUACAUAGGUUAACGAGGCGAACCGGGGGAACUGAAACAUCUAAGUACCCCGAGGAAAAGAAAUCAACCGAGAUUCCCCCAGUAGCGGCGAGCGAACGGGGAGCAGCCCAGAGUCUGAAUCAGCUUGUGUGUUAGUGGAACGGUCUGGAAAGUCCGACGGUACAGGGUGAUAGUCCCGUACACCAAAAUGCACAGGUUGUGAACUCGAAGAGUAGGGCGGGACACGUGGUAUCCUGUCUGAAUAUGGGGGGACCAUCCUCCAAGGCUAAAUACUCCUGACUGACCGAUAGUGAACCAGUACCGUGAGGGAAAGGCGAAAAGAACCCCGGCGAGGGGAGUGAAAAAGAACCUGAAACCGUGUACGUACAAGCAGUGGGAGCACCUUCGGGUGUGACUGCGUACCUUUUGUAUAAUGGGUCAGCGACUUAUAUUCUGUAGCAAGGUUAACCGUAUAGGGGAGCCGCAGGGAAACCGAGUCUUAACUGGGCGUUAAGUUGCAGGGUAUAGACCCGAAACCCGGUGAUCUAGCCAUGGGCAGGUUGAAGGUUGGGUAACACUAACUGGAGGACCGAACCGACUAAUGUUGAAAAAUUAGCGGAUGACUUGUGGCUGGGGGUGAAAGGCCAAUCAAACCGGGAGAUAGCUGGUUCUCCCCGAAAGCUAUUUAGGUAGCGCCUCGUGAAUUCAUCUUCGGGGGUAGAGCACUGUUUCGGCUAGGGGGUCAUCCCGACUUACCAACCCGAUGCAAACUACGAAUACCGAAGAAUGUUAUCACGGGAGACACACGGCGGGUGCUAACGUCCGUCGUGAAGAGGGAAACAACCCAGACCGCCAGCUAAGGUCCCAAAGUCAUGGUUAAGUGGGAAACGAUGUGGGAAGGCACAGACAGCCAGGAUGUUGGCUUAGAAGCAGCCAUCAUUUAAAGAAAGCGUAAUAGCUCACUGGUCGAGUCGGCCUGCGCGGAAGAUGUAACGGGGCUAAACCAUGCACCGAAGCUGCGGCAGCGACACUAUGUGUUGUUGGGUAGGGGAGCGUUCUGUAAGCCUGCGAAGGUGACCUGUGAGGGUUGCUGGAGGUAUCAGAAGUGCGAAUGCUGACAUAAGUAACGAUAAAGCGGGUGAAAAGCCCGCUCGCCGGAAGACCAAGGGUUCCUGUCCAACGUUAAUCGGGGCAGGGUGAGUCGACCCCUAAGGCGAGGCCGAAAGGCGUAGUCGAUGGGAAACAGGUUAAUAUUCCUGUACUUGGUGUUACUGCGAAGGGGGGACGGAGAAGGCUAUGUUAGCCGGGCGACGGUUGUCCCGGUUUAAGCAUGUAGGCUGGUUGUCCAGGCAAAUCCGGAUAAUCAAGGCUGAGGUGUGAUGACGAGGCACUACGGUGCUGAAGUAACAAAUGCCCUGCUUCCAGGAAAAGCCUCUAAGCAUCAGGUAACAUCAAAUCGUACCCCAAACCGACACAGGUGGUCAGGUAGAGAAUACCAAGGCGCUUGAGAGAACUCGGGUGAAGGAACUAGGCAAAAUGGUGCCGUAACUUCGGGAGAAGGCACGCUGGUGUGUAGGUGAAGUCCCUGCGGAUGGAGCUGAGACCAGUCGAAGAUACCAGCUGGCUGCAACUGUUUAUUAAAAACACAGCACUGUGCAAACACGAAAGUGGACGUAUACGGUGUGACGCCUGCCCGGUGCCGGAAGGUUAAUUGAUGGGGUUAUCCGUAAGGAGAAGCUCUUGAUCGAAGCCCCGGUAAACGGCGGCCGUAACUAUAACGGUCCUAAGGUAGCGAAAUUCCUUGUCGGGUAAGUUCCGACCUGCACGAAUGGCGUAAUGAUGGCCAGGCUGUCUCCACCCGAGACUCAGUGAAAUUGAACUCGCUGUGAAGAUGCAGUGUACCCGCGGCAAGACGGAAAGACCCCGUGAACCUUUACUAUAGCUUGACACUGAACAUUGAGCCUUGAUGUGUAGGAUAGGUGGGAGGCUUUGAAGCGUGGACGCCAGUCUGCGUGGAGCCAACCUUGAAAUACCACCCUUUAAUGUUUGAUGUUCUAACGUUGGCCCCUGACCGGGGUUGCGGACAGUGUCUGGUGGGUAGUUUGACUGGGGCGGUCUCCUCCCAAAGCGUAACGGAGGAGCACGAAGGUUAGCUAAUCCUGGUCGGACAUCAGGAGGUUAGUGCAAUGGCAUAAGCUAGCUUGACUGCGAGCGUGACGGCGCGAGCAGGUGCGAAAGCAGGUCAUAGUGAUCCGGUGGUUCUGAAUGGAAGGGCCAUCGCUCAACGGAUAAAAGGUACUCCGGGGAUAACAGGCUGAUACCGCCCAAGAGUUCAUAUCGACGGCGGUGUUUGGCACCUCGAUGUCGGCUCAUCACAUCCUGGGGCUGAAGUAGGUCCCAAGGGUAUGGCUGUUCGCCAUUUAAAGUGGUACGCGAGCUGGGUUUAGAACGUCGUGAGACAGUUCGGUCCCUAUCUGCCGUGGGCGCUGGAGAAUUGAGGGGGGCUGCUCCUAGUACGAGAGGACCGGAGUGGACGCAUCACUGGUGUUCGGGUUGUCAUGCCAAUGGCACUGCCCGGUAGCUAAAUGCGGAAGAGAUAAGUGCUGAAAGCAUCUAAGCACGAAACUUGCCCCGAGAUGAGUUCUCCCUGAGACUUUAAGUCUCCUGAAGGAACGUUGAAGACGACGACGUUGAUAGGCCGGGUGUGUAAGCGCAGCGAUGCGUUGAGCUAACCGGUACUAAUGAACCGUGAGGCUUAACCUU
RNAcentral lists this ribosomal RNA (2797 nucleotides) under Klebsiella pneumoniae. RNAcentral's name for it is "bacterial LSU rRNA". It matches the Rfam family "Bacterial large subunit ribosomal RNA". Lineage: Bacteria; Pseudomonadati; Pseudomonadota; Gammaproteobacteria; Enterobacterales; Enterobacteriaceae. The record is from RNAcentral.